CCCUUAUAUGUCCUGGGCUGCACGCGCGCUACACUGGAAGUUACGGAUUGAGAUACUACCUUGUCCGAAAUGGUCCGGGUAAUCACCUAAAAGCUUGUCAUAAUUGGAAUGGAUUAUUGUAACUAGUAAUCCUGAACGAGGAAUUCCUAGUAAGUCCCAGUCAACAGCUGGUACUGAUUACGUCCCUGCCCUUUGUACACACCGCCCGUCGCUACUACUGAUUGGACGUUUAAGCAAGAUUUUUAAACACUGACAGUGUGUAGUUCACGCUAUACUACAGUGAGAAGAAGAAGAUCGAGCUUACUUGUCUAGAGGAAGUAAAAGUCGUAACA
RNAcentral lists this ribosomal RNA (332 nucleotides) under uncultured eukaryote. RNAcentral's name for it is "partial 18S ribosomal RNA". It matches the Rfam family "Eukaryotic small subunit ribosomal RNA", at positions 1470 to 1796 of the family's 1831-position model. The record is from RNAcentral.